UACGUAGGUGGCAAGCGUUGUCCGGAUUUAUUGGGUUUAAAGGGUGCGUAGGCGGUCCCAUAAGUCAGUGGUGAAAUCCUCUAGCUCAACUAGAGAUGUGCCAUUGAUACUGCGGGACUUGAGUGAAGUCGAAGUAGGCGGAAUUGACGGUGUAGCGGUGAAAUGCUUAGAUAUCGUCAAGAACACCGAUAGUGAAGACAGCUUACUAGGCUUAUACUGACGCUGAGGCACGAAAAGUGUGGGGAUCAAACAGG
RNAcentral lists this ribosomal RNA (254 nucleotides) under uncultured bacterium. RNAcentral's name for it is "partial 16S ribosomal RNA". It matches the Rfam family "Bacterial small subunit ribosomal RNA", at positions 524 to 776 of the family's 1533-position model. The record is from RNAcentral.